GUUGGGAUGAUGAAAAAAAUCGAAAUCAGCACAUUGAUUUUUAUUAAUAUGAUCAUACAACCAGCUACUUCUGACUAAC
This is a small nucleolar RNA of Papaver somniferum (opium poppy), 79 nucleotides long. RefSeq annotates it as small nucleolar RNA R12. NCBI's taxonomy places the organism in Eukaryota, Viridiplantae, Streptophyta, Magnoliopsida, Ranunculales, Papaveraceae. The transcript has a single exon. The record is from RefSeq and is a predicted model, not a curated record.